UUGUGUUUUACUCCAUCAGUACAGACUAGAGGAGACGUCAGAGAGGACAGAAGGCUGAUAUACUGGGUUAUUGUGUUUUACUCCAUCAGUACAGACUAGAGGAGACGUCAGAGAGGACAGAUGACUGAUAUACUGGGUUAUUGUUUUACUCCAUCAGUACAGACUAGAGGAGACGACAGAAGGCUGAUAUACUGGGUUAUUGUGUUUUACUCCAUCAGUACAGACCAGAGGAGACGUCAGAGAGGACAGAAGGCUGAUAUACUGGGUUAUUGUGUUUUACUCCAUCAGUACAGACUAGAGGAGACGUCAGAAGGAUGAUAUACUGGGUUAUUGUGUUUUACUCCAUCAGUACAGACGUCAGAGAGGACAGAUGGCUGAUAUACUGGGUUAUUGUUUUACUCCAUCAGUACAGACUAGAGGAGACGUCAGAGAGGACAGAUGGCUGAUAUACUGGGUUGUUGUGUUUUACUCCAUCAGUACAGACUAGAGGAGACGUCAGAGAGGACAGAAGGCUGAUAUACUGGGUUAUUGUGUUUUACUCCAUCAGUACAGACUAGAGAAGACGUCAGAAGGCUGAUAUACUGGGUUAUUGUGUUUUACUCCAUCAGUACAGACUAGAGAAGACGUCAGAGAGGACAGAAGGCUGAUAUACUGGGUUAUUGUGUUUUACUCCAUCAGUACAGACUAGAGGAGACGUCAGAGAGGACAGAAGGCUGAUAUACUGGGUUAUUGUGUUUUACUCCAUCAGUACAGACUAGAGGAGACGUCAGAAGGAUGAUAUACUGGGUUAUUGUGUUUUACUCCAUCAGUACAGACUAGAGGAGACGUCAGAGAGGACAGAUGGCUGAUAUACUGGGUUAUUGUGUUUUACUCCAUCAGUACAGACCAGAGGAGACGUCAGAGAGGACAGAAGGCUGAUAUACUGGGUUAUUGUGUUUUACUCCAUCAGUACAGACUAGAGGAGACGUCAGAGAGGACAGAAGGCUGAUAUACUGGGUUGUUGUGUUUUACUCCAUCAGUACAGACUAGAGGAGACGUCAGAAGGCUGAUAUACUGGGUUGUUGUGUUUUACUCCAUCAGUACAGACUAGAGGAGACGUCAGAGAGGACAGAAGGCUGAUAUACUGGGUUGUUGUGUUUUACUCCAUCAGUACAGACUAGAGGAGACGUCAGAGAGGACAGAAUGCCUAUGACAGGUGGUACAUCGAGACAUUACACUGACAAAAAGCCUUAUGAAAAUGUCAUCAUCUACCAACAGAUAAACAGAAUGCUUGUCAACAACAGCGUUUUGUGGAGAAACCAAUAUUAAAACCACACUAAACUGUAUGAAGUUUAGACAUAUGUAGUAGGUGACAGAAAGGCAUACAUUUAUCAAUGUACCCAGCGUUGUCUGAACCUUGAGUUUACACAGAUCCCUCUAGUGGAGUCCCAUUGUAGUAACUCACCCUGGCCACCCAAACCCCUCUACCAAGCAGUAGAACUGGAGCUGCAAAACUAAGGCCUGCCAUUCAACAAGUAUUAGGUCCUUCAUGUCAACCAAUUCACAUCACAGACACACACAAGCCUAAGGGGAUGGUAUUUCAGCGAGCCAUGUAGCUGUCAGUUUUGUUUUUAUGUCCCUUAAAAAGGGACACACCAAACUGGCAGUUACGACUGUUCCCCAACUCAAGGAUGCCAUUUUGACAAGGGCAACAGUAGCUGCAUGUUCACAGGCACAUUCAC
Molecule: long non-coding RNA, 1721 nt
Filed under: Salmo salar (Atlantic salmon)
Lineage: Eukaryota; Metazoa; Chordata; Actinopteri; Salmoniformes; Salmonidae
Description: lncRNA (ENSSSAG00000084673.1, ENSSSAG00000089627.1)
Source: RNAcentral